UCAACGCUUUAGUAGAACGUUUGUACCCAACCUUUGUUUUUUCUGUUAGUUUUAAACCAUCUGGUAUACCAACCAACAAGAGUAUAGCUGAAACUACUUCCACCAUACAUGAGACCAAUGAAUUGUCCAAUGCAGCUUCUAACACAUGAAAUAAAUACUCAGAGACUGUGAAAAGCGCUCUCCCCCUUCAGAUGUGCCCCAACCACCCAAACAGUUCUCGGACCGAGAUGUGGAAGAGUCUGCACAGAGUCCCCAUCCGUGCAAGACUCACAGCCAACAGUUUUCACAUGGAGGAGCGCUCACCUUUGGUUGGAGCUCUCGUACUACUCUGAACGUUAGAUGUGGCCUGUCUCUUCCUCUAAGCAUGGGCUUCAUGGUGUGAGGCCCACAUCAACAGCUUUUUUUUUUCUUACGCCGUCCCUCGCUUUUAAUUGGCUGCGUCUCUCAGAGCCGUGCCUGACAAGCUUGUGUUCGUUUCAUCCAUGAGCUCCCAUGCCUCGCUGCUGGGUCAUGGCCUCUCCAAUGUAGUUCGUGACAUGAAAAUUACCCAACCUUGAUGGGGGCACGAAACCUGAUGUUGAUAGAUUGGAGCUCAGAGAUGGUACACUGGUGCCGCGGCCAGCAUCACCUUCGCUCGGC
Molecule: long non-coding RNA, 639 nt
Filed under: Elaeis guineensis (African oil palm)
Lineage: Eukaryota; Viridiplantae; Streptophyta; Magnoliopsida; Arecales; Arecaceae
Description: long non-coding RNA (EGUI_LNC005387)
Source: RNAcentral